ACUGCAGCCCGACUUGAGUGGAAAUCCUUUUUUGCGUGGCUUCGAGUUCUACUGAACUGAAAUCGUCGAGCAAAAAAGAUUGGGAACGGAAGGCGGAAAUAGCU
Molecule: small RNA, 104 nt
Filed under: Epilithonimonas lactis
Lineage: Bacteria; Pseudomonadati; Bacteroidota; Flavobacteriia; Flavobacteriales; Weeksellaceae
Description: Chryseobacterium halperniae Flavo-1 RNA
Rfam family: Flavo-1 RNA
Source: RNAcentral